Molecule: transfer RNA, 72 nt
Filed under: Lachnospiraceae bacterium
Lineage: Bacteria; Bacillati; Bacillota; Clostridia; Lachnospirales; Lachnospiraceae
Description: tRNA-Arg
Rfam family: tRNA
About the family: Transfer RNA (tRNA) molecules are approximately 80 nucleotides in length.
Source: RNAcentral
GCAUCAGUAGCUCAGUGGAUAGAGCAAUGGCCUCCGGAGCCAUGUGGGGAGGUUCGAUUCCUCUCUGGUGCA